UAGUAGUAACGUUUCUCUCAAUCCUCUUUCAUUUCUUUUAAAGAGGGAAGUAAUUAUUAAUUAUUAAGUAUUAUUAAUUUUAUUUUUCUCUCUCCGUCCAUAAAUAUAUGAAAGCCAUGGUGUUUUGGUAUGAUCGAGGCUCAGUUGUUUGAUUGUUUCUAAAGAGAAAGCUUAUAGGUUAGGGGCUUACAUCUAUUUUUCUCAGCUCACAAUGAUACACAUUUGAUGAGGGAUUGGAGGAAAGAAAAAAAUUGGAGGAACAUUUGUGAAUCUCAACUUGAAGAAUGAUUUAAGAGAGAACAACAUGACAUGGGUAACUCGAAUGCGUGGGAGAAGAAAUGAAUCAUCAGCCAACUUAUAGUUUAUUAUAUUGAUGUAUGCAUAUAUUUCACUUGCACUUAUGUGAUCAAGAUCUUUACCCAAUAUACACCUAUAUUAAACCAAA
This is a long non-coding RNA of Macadamia integrifolia, 445 nucleotides long. RefSeq lists it as uncharacterized. The record is from RefSeq and is a predicted model, not a curated record. The transcript has 2 exons. Lineage: Eukaryota; Viridiplantae; Streptophyta; Magnoliopsida; Proteales; Proteaceae.